This 98-nucleotide ribosomal RNA is filed under the name Gopherus agassizii (Agassiz's desert tortoise). The record is from RNAcentral. Lineage: Eukaryota; Metazoa; Chordata; Testudines; Testudinidae.
GGCUCUAGCCCUAGCAGGCCAAAUGCACUUGGAAGCAGGGCUGGGCCUGGUUAAUGCUUGGCUAGGAGACUUCCUGGCAAUACUAGGUGCUGUAGGCU